Molecule: ribosomal RNA, 274 nt
Filed under: uncultured bacterium
Lineage: Bacteria
Description: partial 16S ribosomal RNA
Rfam family: Bacterial small subunit ribosomal RNA
Source: RNAcentral
AUACGUAGGAUGCGAGCGUUGUCCGGAUUUACUGGGCGUAAAGGGUGCGUAGGCGGCGCGGUAAGUCUCAUGCGAAAUCUCCCGGCUUAACUGGGAGGGGUCAUGGGAAACUGCCAUGCUCGAGGGCAGCGGAGGAGAGCGGAAUUCCGGGAGUAGCGGUGAUAUGCGUAGAUACCCGGAGGAACACCCGUGGCGAAAGCGGCUCUCUGGGCUGUACCUGACGCUAAGGCACGAAAGCGUGGGGAGCAAACCGGAUUAGAAACCCCGGUAGUCC